CUCGCCUGGGCGCCGCAGAGGGGCCGCCCCGCCCUUCCCACUCCACUGUGCUCUGGAAGCGCCUCGGGCGCGUCUGCGGGGUCCUGGGGAAGCAGCGCCGACCCCACUCGCCCACCGCGCAGCGUCCAGGGAGAGUGGUCUCACAGGUCCACCCUGGAGCAUGCUGGAGAGGGCGUCAUGCUCAGGGUGGAGGCUGUUCCUGCGUGCUGUGAGUCAGAAGCGCCCUUGCACGUGUAGACCUGUGUCGGCUGCUGGAAGCCCCGAGAGGAAGGGCCGCCUCAAGAGAGUGUCCUUGGUGUCGCCAGGAGCAGCAGGCCACCUCCUGGGGCUGACACUGGCCGGGGCCUGCAUUUCUGAGGGCGGAGCAUGCUUUGACAUCCUGAAAAGGUUGCAACACCCAUCACAGAGAACCCCGAGAAGGGAGACUCUGCCACAGAGACCCCGUGUGUCCCACAGGGGCUGCGUCGUGUGCUCUCUGGCCCUUCAUGGAAGUCUUUCCCAGCACUGGUCCAGGAGUCCCGGUCCUACAUCCCCAGGAGCCAGCGGGAGGCUUGUGGUCACUGCAGCGGCUUCUGCACGGUGUGAGUGCCCCACGCCAGCCUGGGUGGCAGGAUGUGCCCCGCACCUCCAACACCCUCCUCCUCUCUGCCCUAGGUGGGGCGACCUCGCUCUGCAGACAGAGGAGGCCUCUCCUUUCCCCAUGCAGCCCUGAAGGGGAGGGGCUGGGGCAGGGAGGGGUGUGUAGGGUUGCCAGAUCCUGGGCUGGGGGGGUGGGGGCAGCCCCUGGCCUUGGGGGUGGGAUAUUGAGAGCUGGGUGGGUUCCGGAAGGGGCCCCGGGAGGCCCUUGGCAUCUCGUUUCCCUGGAGACGCACCCCAUCCUUCUCCCUGGGACUGGCAGGUGACUUUCUGAUGAUGCUCUCACUCUCUCGGUGGCUCUGAAUUUGUCACUGAGGUUCUGUGGGCAGCGAGUGUUUUUCCUGUUGGCCGCCAUCGCCUCUGGGCAAUACAGGGACCCUUGGUGAAGCUCCUGGCCCCUUCCAAAGCCGCCUGGCUCUCCUUGAACUGGAGGAGAGCAGGUUGCCGGGCCUUCCCUGAGGAAUGUGUUCCUGGUAGGUGGGGACACCACUGUCCCCAGGGGUGUUGGGUAGAGGGUCCUGGGGUGCCUCAGGGCAUGGUCAGGCCCCCCUGAACCCCCAUGCUCCUGGGCCAUCUGCCUGCUGGUUGUCCUCUGUGACCCCUCUCUCCCUUGAGCUGAGGCACUGGCCUGGUGCCCCGAGAAGGAACAGUGAGGAGGGCCGACUCUCCCUGCUGUGGGGGCCUUGGGGGCCUGGACGGGGACUGCAUCCUCCCUCCCCCGGCUGCCCAGCGCCCUCGCUCAGGGAAUGCUCUUCCAGCAGCCUGUUUCACAGAUGGGCAUGGUCACGACAGCAGCCAGACCCUGUCCUGGGCCGUGCAGCCACCUGGAUGGAUCGGCGCCCUCCUGGACUUACUGGCUCCAUUGAGGGUCCCAAAGGAGCUGCCCGCCCCCGAGCACCCUGGGGGACUCCAGACCCCUCAGGCCUUGGCAGCUACCAACAGCCCAGGCAGGACCCAGGGGCUUCUGGGCAAAGAGCAGCCACUCCCUGGCUCGUGAGCCCAGGGCCUCUCCAGCCGUCCCCUGUCGGGGAGCCUCCACUCCUGCUCUGGAUCAAGGUCCUGCCCCCAGGGAGAGCUGGUGCCUUCGGGGACCGGGCCCUGGUUGCAGUUGGAGAGUGCGCCCAGGUACUGCACUCCUCUUGGCUGCUGCCCUGCCUCCUGGGGGGCCUCCCCAGACCCCCAGCCUCUGGCCUAGGGGGUGUCUUGGUUUGGGAGUGCCCUGCCCUGGACACUGUGUCUGAGGAGGAUACAUGAUUGCCCUUUCUUGGGGUCCAGGCACAGGGUGAGGGGCACUCGGCCCCACCACCUAUGUCUCUGGGAGCCCUGGCUGGGUACAGCACCUCUUCAGAGAGAUCCUGUCUCGGGCCUGCCCCCCCAUGCAGCUUGGGGCCCCCGGUCAGUCACCUCCUAGCCACCACCUGCUGGUGUCCUAGCCUCAGCUGGGCCCUGCAAGCUUUCUGUGUGCCUGGGACACCCAGCCCCUCUGCAGGUGUUGUCAAACACCCCCACAGUAAUGCCUGGGGGCCUCUCUGGGCCUUUGUGUGCCAAGUUGGGGUGGGUGGUGGCGGGGGUCUUCCCAUAGUCGCCUGCUUCCUGUCCUCCUCGGCCCUUGGUUGGGGGGUACCCUGUCUGCUUGGUUUCCAGCCUGAGCCCCUCCCUGUGCUGGGCCAGUCCCCUAAGCUUCCCAGGCAGAUUCCCAGGUCCGCCUGGAGGAGCCCAGAGCCCUGGAGUGGAGCCCAGGCCUCCCUGCGCUAGGGACCACACCGGAACCCAGAGGGACUCCUGGCCAGGGUUCCCAGCAGUGACUGAGUGCUGGACUCAAUCCCUGGCUGUAGAUUUCAGGGAGUCCCGCUCUGAGGGGCUAUUGCUUCCCUUUCCUCUCCAGGCUCCCUCCCUCCCAGUUUCCUGGGAGAGUGGGGAUGGGGCUGUCAGAAGGCAGAAGGGAAGGUUGGGGUGCCAGGGGUGUGGCUGGGGUGAGGGAAGGUCAGCUGGGCUACCCCCGUCCCUGCCCUCCUUGGACUCAGUCCAGACACAUCCUCCAGAUUGGGGGCCUGUGCACCCUUCAUGUUCUCCUAGUAGUCUGGCGGGUCCUCCUGAGUCUUCCUCUGUGGCUGGGUCCGCAGGCCAUAAGCCCCAGCAGGGUGGGGGCCUGUGCUCUUGUUUUUGCUCCUACUUGCCCGGCCUCCCUGGGGAGGCCCCUGGCCAGGACCAUGCCGAUCACUUUCCCUGCUGCCUGCCUGCCUGGGUGGCCUCCAGCUCACUGCCCCGUGAGGCCUGUGACCUCCCGCCAGGGCAGGCCCCAGGAGCCUGGAUCCCCCCAGUUUGUCUUCCACCCUUGCCUCCCCACAUGUGUCCCUCCAGCCUGGGUAUCAUCUAGAGGGUUGGGGGAUGGGCACCCCUGGUUCACCUAGCCCAGCCCCAGGGUGGUUCUCCCGGUGGCCCUGCCAGGCAUGGGCUUGGGAGAGGAUGCGAUGGAGCCGCCACAAGGAGGGGGCAGGAGACUCCAGGUGACCCAGGGCAGGAGGGGGCACCCCAGAGGUUCCGAGUCCUGAGCACACCAUGGGCUGAGCCGACAGGUUGGGACCUCAGGGGGACCUGUCAUCCUGCCCACUGGCACUGGAUCUUUCUGGGCCUGGCUCUGCUGCCUCCCACCCCCAUUCAGCUAGUGGCUUCUAGAGGCUUCCAGAGCAUGCUUGGCCCCUUUGCCUCUAUGCCAUUGGGCCCAGUGGGAGCAGUAGAGUGUCUGGGGCUGGGGGUGGGACUAACACUCUCUGUGUCUUGCUUGCUCGUGUCUCCCAGUGAGUGGACGCCCUGAGCCUGGGGCCAGCAGCCCAGCCUCAAUCAGAAAUAAAAGUAACGAUUCUGCCUGA
This is a non-coding RNA of Callithrix jacchus (white-tufted-ear marmoset), 3506 nucleotides long. NCBI's taxonomy places the organism in Eukaryota, Metazoa, Chordata, Mammalia, Primates, Cebidae. The record is from RefSeq and is a predicted model, not a curated record.